UUCCGGGGAGGCCUAGUACAGGUGUUUGCAUGGCUGUCGUCAGCUCGUGUCGUGAGAUGUUCGGUUAAGUCCGCUAACGAGCGCAACCCUCGUCGUAUGUUAUAUGUGUCAUACGAGACUGCCGGUAAAAGCCGGAGGAAGGUGAGGAUGAGUGUCAAGUCAGCAUGACCUUUAUAUCCAGGGCUACACACACGCUACAAUGGUCUGUACAAUGGGUAGCCAAGCCGCGAGGCGGAGCCAAUCCUGAAAGCAGGCCUCAGUUCAGAUUGCAGUCUGCAACUCGACUGCAUGAAGCCAGAGUUGCUAGUAACCGCAGGUCAGCAAUACUGCGGUGAAUACGUUCCCGGGUCUU
Molecule: ribosomal RNA, 352 nt
Filed under: uncultured Anaerolineaceae bacterium
Lineage: Bacteria; Bacillati; Chloroflexota; Anaerolineae; Anaerolineales; Anaerolineaceae
Description: bacterial SSU rRNA
Rfam family: Bacterial small subunit ribosomal RNA
Source: RNAcentral